RNAcentral lists this long non-coding RNA (539 nucleotides) under Physcomitrium patens. Its description in RNAcentral is "long non-coding RNA (PPAT_LNC012400)". The record is from RNAcentral. Lineage: Eukaryota; Viridiplantae; Streptophyta; Bryopsida; Funariales; Funariaceae.
GAGAAAACCAACCCCUUUUGUACAAUCUCUCCCCCACACACACAAUACAUGGACUAACUUGCUGCAUAAUUAACCAAUGAGUCUGGAUUUCUUUAACACUGUCUGUAAUUUUCCUAUUUGUGGCUACUCUUACUGAUAACACCAACAACAAUGCCAAACAUUUAUUCCAGAAGUCUUACUUACUAAACCUUUGAGGACCCUAAGUUUUUUGUAAUCAUAAGAUUUUUUUAUUUUUUUAUUUUUAUUUUUUGUAAAAGGGUUGGCAGCUUUGAAAAGUGGUGUUGCAUUGAAACUCAUCAACUCAUCAACUCAUUAUCAGACUAGCCUGGGGGGCCUAGCCAUCAUCAGUUUCAUGUGUUACCAUCCAUCCAUUGAUUUCAGCCUCUAUAUCUUUCUUCCCACAGUAUACUUGGUUGAUUCUCUUUGCAACUCCAAGCUGCAAGCUCUGACACCACACCUCCACUUCAUGCUCUAUCAUUCCCCCUUUCCUUUCCUUUCAUUUCCCUUCUCUUGCUGUGAGUUAACACCACCCUGCCCAC